Molecule: long non-coding RNA, 604 nt
Organism: Lemur catta (Ring-tailed lemur)
Lineage: Eukaryota; Metazoa; Chordata; Mammalia; Primates; Lemuridae
Exons: 3
Source: RefSeq, a predicted model, not a curated record
CCUCGCCUCGCCGCCUCUUUGGUGUGCGCGCUGCGGUCGCCGGUCUCUUUGUCCCGCGUGGUUGGGCGCACUGAUCCGCCGCCACUUUGUAGAGGGUUUCGGGCCGGACCCCGCCUGCGGCCGCAAGAGCCCCGCCUCGGGCCUCCCUUGGCUCGAGAGUUUGUCUCCAGCGUCUGCGGAGGUGCGGCGGCCUCAGUUCUAACUCAGCACAGAUUGAAAACUACAGACACAAGCUGUUGAAGCUGGGAUGCUCUGGUGCUGGUAUUUCAAUUAACUUAUAGGUCUAUCCAGAAAUAUCCAGCCGUUGUUAACAUAAUGAGAACAGCUUGUCCCACAUCUAUGUAACCUGGCAGCCAAGGAGUGGACCUCAAUGCCUAUGCGUGAACAAUGAUGCCAUCACUGUACUAGUCAGUGGGGUGCUAGACACUGGGCCAUCAUAAUCAGAAUGACUGAGCCAGUAGAGCAACGAGUCUGCAUCAAAUUUUGUGUUAAGCUUGAACGUUCCUCUGCGGAAACCAUUCGGAUGAUUCAGAAGGCCUUUGGGGACAACGCAAUGAGUGCAGCAAAAAUAAAAGUGUGGCACAAACACUUCAAAGAUGUUCAA